This 289-nucleotide unclassified non-coding RNA is filed under the name Hevea brasiliensis (rubber tree). Lineage: Eukaryota; Viridiplantae; Streptophyta; Magnoliopsida; Malpighiales; Euphorbiaceae. The record is from RNAcentral.
GGAAGAACAAAAUUAUAUGACCAAACCAAAACUUAAAUACAUUUUAUUGUAUUUUUCAAAAUGACAUAUCACACAAGAACUAACAAAAUAAUUUACCCUUAUUUUUUACUUGAAUUUUAUAUCAAACACGCUUAAUCUUUGAGUAAAAAAAAAAUAAAUCUUAUCUUAGAAAUUUUAAUUAGACUUCUUCUCACUUAACCAUUAUUAAGAUAGUUUUUCCUCCACUCUGUUAUACCUACCAAAUGCGCCAUUAAUCUUAAUACUAAUCCCUUAAAAAAAUCUUAAUACU